Molecule: ribosomal RNA, 248 nt
Filed under: uncultured Eubacterium sp.
Lineage: Bacteria; Bacillati; Bacillota; Clostridia; Eubacteriales; Eubacteriaceae
Description: partial 16S ribosomal RNA
Rfam family: Bacterial small subunit ribosomal RNA
Source: RNAcentral
UACGUAGGUGGCAAGCGUUGUCCGGAAUUACUGGGUGUAAAGGGAGCGUAGGCGGGAAGGCAAGUCAGAUGUGAAAUCCACAGGCUUAACCUGUGGCGUGCAUUUGAAACUGUAGUUCUUGAGUGUUGGAGAGGCAGGCGGAAUUCCGUGUGUAGCGGUGAAAUGCGUAGAUAUACGGAGGAACACCAGUGGCGAAGGCGGCCUGCUGGACAAUAACUGACGCUGAUGCUCGAAAGCAUGGGGAUCAA